Molecule: transfer RNA, 76 nt
Filed under: Bacillota bacterium
Lineage: Bacteria; Bacillati; Bacillota
Description: tRNA-Val
Rfam family: tRNA
About the family: Transfer RNA (tRNA) molecules are approximately 80 nucleotides in length. Their secondary structure includes four short double-helical elements and three loops (D, anti-codon, and T loops).
Source: RNAcentral
GGGCGGAUAGCUCAGUUGGGAGAGCAUCUCCCUUACAAGGAGGGGGUCGUCGGUUCGAGUCCGGCUCCGCCCACCA